GACGAACGCUGGCGGCGUGCUUAACACAUGCAAGUCGAACGGAAAGGCCCUGCUUUUGUGGGGUGCUCGAGUGGCGAACGGGUGAGUAACACGUGAGUAACCUGCCCUUGACUUUGGGAUAACUUCAGGAAACUGGGGCUAAUACCGGAUAGGAGCUCCUGCUGCAUGGUGGGGGUUGAAAAGUUUCGGCGGUUGGGGAUGGACUCGCGGCUUAUCAGCUUGUUGGUGGGGUAGUGGCUUACCAAGGCUUUGACGGGUAGCCGGCCUGAGAGGGUGACCGGCCACAUUGGGACUGAGAUACGGCCCAGACUCCUACGGGAGGCAGCAGUGGGGAAUAUUGCACAAUGGGCGGAAGCCUGAUGCAGCAACGCCGCGUGCGGGAUGACGGCCUUCGGGUUGUGAACCGCUUUCGCCUGUGACGAAGCGUGAGUGACGGUAAUGGGUAAAGAAGCACCGGCUAACUACGUG
This 468-nucleotide ribosomal RNA is filed under the name uncultured bacterium. RNAcentral's name for it is "partial 16S ribosomal RNA". It matches the Rfam family "Bacterial small subunit ribosomal RNA", at positions 28 to 507 of the family's 1533-position model. The record is from RNAcentral.